AUUGAACGCUGGCGGCAGGCCUAACACAUGCCAGUCGAGCGGAUGAAGGGAGCUUGCUCCUGGAUUCAGCGGCGGACGGGUGAGUAAUGCCUAGGAAUCUGCCUGGUAGUGGGGGAUAACGUCCGGAAACGGGCGCUAAUACCGCAUACGUCCUGAGGGAGAAAGUGGGGGAUCUUCGGACCUCACGCUAUCAGAUGAGCCUAGGUCGGAUUAGCUAGUUGGUGGGGUAAAGGCCUACCAAGGCGACGAUCCGUAGCUGGUCUGAGAGGAUGAUCAGUCACACUGGAACUGAGACACGGUCCAGACUCCUACGGGAGGCAGCAGUGGGGAAUAUUGGACAAUGGGCGAAAGCCUGAUGCAGCCAUGCCGCGUGUGUGAAGAAGGUCUUCGGAUUGUAAAGCACUUUUAGUUGGGAGGAAGGGCAGUAAGUUAAUACCUUGCUGUUUUGACGUUACCAACAGAAUAAGCACCGGCUAACUUCGUG
RNAcentral lists this ribosomal RNA (484 nucleotides) under uncultured bacterium. RNAcentral's name for it is "partial 16S ribosomal RNA". It matches the Rfam family "Bacterial small subunit ribosomal RNA", at positions 30 to 507 of the family's 1533-position model. The record is from RNAcentral.